This 922-nucleotide ribosomal RNA is filed under the name uncultured Porphyromonadaceae bacterium. RNAcentral's name for it is "bacterial SSU rRNA". It matches the Rfam family "Bacterial small subunit ribosomal RNA", at positions 8 to 920 of the family's 1533-position model. Lineage: Bacteria; Pseudomonadati; Bacteroidota; Bacteroidia; Bacteroidales; Porphyromonadaceae. The record is from RNAcentral.
AGAGUUUGAUCCUGGCUCAGGAUGAACGCUAGCGACAGGCUUAACACAUGCAAGUCGCGGGGCAGCGGGGGUGAAGCUUGCUUCACCUGCCGGCGACCGGCGCACGGGUGAGUAACACGUAUGCAAUCUGCCCUUCACAGCGGGAUAAUCGGGAGAAAUUCCGUCUAAUACCACAUAACACCCCCGGGGGACAUCCCCCGAGGGUCAAAGGAGCGAUCCGGUGAAGGAUGAGCAUGCGGCGCAUUAGCUGGUUGGCGGGGUAACGGCCCACCAAGGCGACGAUGCGUAGGGGUUCUGAGAGGAAGGUCCCCCACAUUGGUACUGAGACACGGACCAAACUCCUACGGGAGGCAGCAGUGAGGAAUAUUGGUCAAUGGACGCAAGUCUGAACCAGCCAUGCCGCGUGCAGGAAGACGGCUCUAUGAGUUGUAAACUGCUUUUGUACGAGGGUAAACGCUCUUACGUGUAAGAGCCUGAAAGUAUCGUACGAAUAAGGAUCGGCUAACUCCGUGCCAGCAGCCGCGGUAAUACGGAGGAUUCAAGCGUUAUCCGGAUUUAUUGGGUUUAAAGGGUGCGUAGGCGGUUUGAUAAGUUAGAGGUGAAAUUUCGGGGCUCAACCCUGAACGUGCCUCUAAUACUGUUGAGCUAGAGAGUAGUUGCGGUAGGCGGAAUGUAUGGUGUAGCGGUGAAAUGCUUAGAGAUCAUACAGAACACCGAUUGCGAAGGCAGCUUACCAAACUAUAUCUGACGUUGAGGCACGAAAGCGUGGGGAGCAAACAGGAUUAGAUACCCUGGUAGUCCACGCAGUAAACGAUGAUAACUCGUUGUCGGCGAUACACAGUCGGUGACUAAGCGAAAGCGAUAAGUUAUCCACCUGGGGAGUACGACCGCAAGGUUGAAACUCAAAGGAAUUGACGGGGGC